This 45-nucleotide non-coding RNA is filed under the name Schistosoma mattheei. Lineage: Eukaryota; Metazoa; Platyhelminthes; Trematoda; Strigeidida; Schistosomatidae. The record is from RNAcentral.
AUCCAGCAGACGAGUCCCAAAUAGAAAGAAACGCGCGUCCUGGAU